Molecule: unclassified non-coding RNA, 265 nt
Filed under: Celtis africana
Lineage: Eukaryota; Viridiplantae; Streptophyta; Magnoliopsida; Rosales; Cannabaceae
Description: partial 26S-18S external transcribed spacer
Source: RNAcentral
UUUCCUCCUUUGUGACCUUCGGGUUGCAAGGGGGACACGGUAGCGACACCUGUGUCCCGAACAUGCCUCGACGCUACGUUGUGGCUGUGACGGUCCUCGGGCGAUUGCUAGUACUCUCGGAUUCGGAAUACUACGUGGGUGAGGGGGUCUCUGGCCUCCGAACGCUCGAAAUAGUCCCUUGACACGGAUGACAACACGGGGGCUACGCAAAUCCCUAGCCGAAAGGCGUGCGGGUUUGUGUAGUUCGCGAUGUCCGAAAGGAAUG